Molecule: ribosomal RNA, 433 nt
Filed under: uncultured bacterium
Lineage: Bacteria
Description: partial 16S ribosomal RNA
Rfam family: Bacterial small subunit ribosomal RNA
Source: RNAcentral
AACGAACGCUGGCGGCAGGCCUAACACAUGCAAGUCGAGCGGACCCUUCGGGGUUAGCGGCGGACGGGUGAGUAACGCGUGGGAAUAUGCCCUUCUCUACGGAAUAGUCCUGGGAAACUGGGGGUAAUACCGGAUACGCCCUUUGGGGGAAAGAUUUAUCGGGGAAGGAUGAGCCCGCGUUGGAUUAGGUAGUUGGUGGGGUAAUGGCCUACCAAGCCGACGAUCCAUAGCUGGUUUGAGAGGAUGAUCAGCCACACUGGGACUGAGACACGGCCCAGACUCCUACGGGAGGCAGCAGUGGGGAAUCUUAGACAAUGGGGGCAACCCUGAUCUAGCCAUGCCGCGUGAGUGAUGAAGGCCUUAGGGUUGUAAAGCUCUUUCAGCUGGGAAGAUAAUGACGGUACCAGCAGAAGAAGCCCCGGCUAACUCCGUG